CCUACGGGAGGCAGCAGUGAGGAAUAUUGGUCAAUGGACGAGAGUCUGAACCAGCCAAGUAGCGUGAAGGAUGACUGCCCUAUGGGUUGUAAACUUCUUUUAUAUGGGAAUAAAAUGUUCCACGUGUGGGAUUUUGUAUGUACCAUAUGAAUAAGGAUCGGCUAACUCCGUGCCAUCAGCCGCGGUAAUACGGAGGAUCCGAGCUUUAUCCGGAUUUAUUGGGUUUAAAGGGAGCGUAGGUGGAUUGUUAAGUCAGUUGUGAAAGUUUGCGGCUCAACCGUAAAAUUGCAGUUGAAACUGGCAGUCUUGAGUACAGUAGAGGUGGGCGGAAUUCGUGGUGUAGCGGUGAAAUGCUGAGAUAUCACGAAGAACUCCGAUUGCGAAGGCAGCUCACUGGACUGCAACUGACACUGAGGCUCGAAAGUGUGGGUAUCAAACAGGAUUAGAUACCCGAGUAGUC
RNAcentral lists this ribosomal RNA (460 nucleotides) under uncultured bacterium. RNAcentral describes it as "partial 16S ribosomal RNA". It matches the Rfam family "Bacterial small subunit ribosomal RNA", at positions 338 to 795 of the family's 1533-position model. The record is from RNAcentral.